UCCGCACGCCGCUUCCCCUGCUGCACCUGCUCCGCGCAACGGGACGCGCACUCCUCACCGCCACCCGCCGCGCCGCUGCUGCAAAAAGCGAAGCGGGGAAUGCGCGAUCGCCGCCGCGCCGCACCAGCCUCCCCUCCCCCCCCCCCCCCCCACCCGAGACUCGCCGGCGACCGGCUCGGCCUGAGCGAGCGAUUGACUUGGUGGACCAUGAAGUGCCUUCAAAUGCAUGAAAGAGGGCGGAUACCAUCAGAUCAUAUGCCAUAAAAUGCUCAAUAUUAUUGUGAUUCAAAUUUUGUGCCCUCCCUCUCCCUGGUUAUUAUUGUGAUUCCUGUGACAAUGGUAAUUGUUGAAAGCUUUCCAGAAUACAAAGAUGUCUACGAGCUUUGACAUCUGUUGCCUGUUGUCACAUAUGUGCGGGUGAGUGGCCAUAGUUCAGCAAUUGAUGGAACACUUUAUAGCCACAUCUCAUGCAUAUGGCCUGUCUCUAAAGGUGUAAAGGACUAAUGGUGGCUGUUUUGAGUGCUAAAGGUAAUGGAAUUUAUCUCGACUGCUGUAAGCCCAACAAUGGAGUACUUUCAUGGUUACAAAGGCUUUCCAAGUAUGCUUUCAUAUGUUUAUCAUCAUGCUGAUGUCAUAUAGAUGCAAGAACCUUUCAGCACGUUAUCAAGCAGGAAUAUAUCUUAUGCCUUGUCUUUGUGGUUUCCUGCUACCUGUAUAACAUUUUAUUUCCUUCUAAAAAGGGUUCUCUUAUGAGUUUGAAUUGGUUGCUUGGCCUAACCUUCAUAUUCUCAGCAAAGAAAAUCAGUUUUAUCCAAAUGAGUUUUAUUUAAGCAAAAUUGAUCCUGAUUGUUAUGAAUUGUGUCAGAUGGAAUCACUGAACUAUUAUUUUUACAUAUUCAUUAUUCCAUUGGACCACUAAAUACAUUAACCUAUGAUACCCUAGGUUCUUACUCUUAAUUUUGUUCCUCUUUUCUGUUAUUUUCCACUCACUAAUGAUGAUGUAGGUGGAUGCCAAUGUACUACUGUUAUCAGAGCUGAGACUGCAUAUUAAAAUAUAAACUAAAUGUCUUUUUCAUCUAGAGAAGAGCACUGCCGCUCAUCCUUUGCUAUUUUCAUGUCUUGCGCUAUUUCUACUUCACUUUCAUACUCACACAGAAUCACAGAUACAUCCGAUAAUGCCGCUCAUGUGUCCGAGCAGACACAGCAUAACCAAAGAUAAUUGAAGUGCAUAUGCCCACAAGUUGAAACAUCAUGCUACUUCUACAUCACGGGUGCUCCAUGUCCAUGCAGGGCAGAGCACACUGUUGGGAAGAAGCAUCAUCCACCUUUCUUCUGUUGCCAAUUAAAAGUCGUGUUAGCUGCUGUUCGAUUCGUAACUCACUGGGUCACUUCUCUCUGGGGGAAAAGCCUUGGUCAAUCAUCACAGUUGGGGUCCUGGGGAAAAAGAGAUGGCAUCAUAUUCCAACAAGAACCACUUUGCAGGCGCUGAGUGUGUCCGCGGUCAGUUAAGAAUUGGGCUUCCCAUAAUUGCAAAGAUAAUCGUGCAGGUACAAGUAUAAUGAUUUGUCCGAUUGACUGUCGCUAGCGUCAAUGGAGGCACUGAUCAUUGCGAGGGGGAACUCAUCGCCUGUGAAUUUCUUUCAUGAAACUUCGGAUACAAAAAGGGUCCACUGGAGGAGACAAAUUUCUUGGAGUAUAGUAUUGGAAACGAGCUGGUCAAUGCAUGCAUUAUUGUUGGUAUCUUUUUCUUGUCUGACGAAAGAGUGUUUUUAUCCAUGAUUCCAUGAUUAGGAUUGUAAUGGCAUCCGUCUGUACCCAUGUGACGGUGGAUACUCAUCACCAAUUAAACAAACGCGGCACGAAUCAAAAGGCUGUGAUUGAGCAAUUUUAUAGAUUUGCAGUUGAGCCAGGAAAACGGACUGUCAGGUAACAACCUACCUCUUGGCUGCAACUGCCCGUGCUGUCUUCCUUUGUUACUCCUUGCUCAGGAUUAUGCAUCCGUGAUCCCAGGAAGGAAGUUCACCCUGCCUCCAGGUGAUUGUUAUGAUAUAGAAAGAGCGGCAUUAUUUUGAGUGGUGGUGAGAGAAGGGAAGGCUGGCGGCGGCGGCAGCAUGGCAAUUAGCAAGGCUGGCACUAGAAGAUCACGGGGAAGAAGGCAAGUUUGACAAAGGAGGCAUCUUUCUGGGGUCCCCAGGAAGCAUAGGCCCACCCCCUCCCUAAUCCCUACGGUACACACACGAUACUUGGGCACGUGGGCGCGAUGGAAUGGCUCGUGGCCCAUUGAAUUGAUUGGCAAAAGUUCGAGCUGCAAUUCGUGGACGGCCGGCCUGCUCGGGACGCCAUCGGAUCGCCGCCCGGCGACUUUUGCAGGCUGGAGCUGGAGGCUGAAGCUGGAGUGGUGUGAGAGAAAAACACUGUGACAUGACUGGUGGCUAGAGGCUAGUGCUGGAGCGAGUGAGAAAAAAAUACUGUAGAACUGGAGGCUGGUGCACCAGCCGAACAUGGUGAAUAUGGAGAGCCAGGUACGCCAAUAAGCUGUAAUCUGUUUAAUUAGUCAGUGUGGCGAGUUGUGUGCCAUGUGCAUGCACUGGUGCAAGAAGAGUGUAGUAUUAAUAUAACAAGGAAUAAAAGGUACUAUGAACUUGUUGUUUUAGGUCAAACAUAAUAUCCAUAAACUUUGAUUUUGUGAAGCCCGCCGACAGAUUUUCUUCUCCUCUCCGCGUAAUACAAACUCGGCAGGGUCCACCUGAUAAUUUAAGUUGUAGGAAACAUCACAAAUGGCUUUGUUUUAUUAGUUCAUAGCGUGGUGGCACUUGUUUAUAAAUUCAUGGAGAAGAAAGGGGCCAACAAUUAUCUGGUUAGUUAUUUGGUUGUAGGCAUUCACUCGUGGACGUUCAAGGCCAGAACAAUUCCUUAAUCUAAAAAAAUUAUCUGGUUUGUUCUACUGAAUUAUGCAAAUGUUACACUUAUCUGUAUGCGCUUACAGAGAUUAUUCAACUAAUUAAUAUGUAAAUCAUUGAUGUUUUAUACUUGCACAUGUUUGCCAAAACGUAUUAUUUACUAUUAUUUUCACUGAAUUAAUUUAAGCAUAGCGAAAAUUAUAAUGGGAGCAUACUUUUUUCAAAGCAAACAAACCUGCAUAUACCAUACCAUUCUUCACAAUAAUCUUAAUUGUAGCAGUAACAUUUUGUCGGCACAAACUCUAACCCCCUAGCACCACUGAUUUGAUAUUAGGGGGUAUUAGGAGGUGACAUUAUCAGGUUGGGCUCCAUUUGCACACUAACGCAUCACUUUCCUUGACCCCCUCUGCUAGCAAAGCCUAAUAAUGCAGCCCCGGAUGCACUGCACUGCAUGGCCCCAAUGCAAGCCACUCCUCUCUCCCUUCCUUCUCUAGACGCCUAGUCCACACAAAUUGGCCGGCACGCCCAAUUAUCCACCCAAUUAAGUUGCGCGCGCUUAAUGUUGUGGUUGGGAUUACGCCGGGAGGCCAGUUGACGGGCAAUGAUUUUAAUCAAGGGGGUCCAACCCAUAACACGACUGAUUAAUCGCCCCCCGUCCCUACGAUGUGAAGUCGCACCUGCCUCAAGGUCCUUUGGCCCCCCCCUUCCAACACCAUGGCGUAUGCAUGCGUGAAGUCGCUAGCUGCUGCUGCUACUCUAAGGUCACAGUCGUCAGCAUUUGCGUAUGCAUGGGCCUGCGUUACGCCCCCAAUGCAAGCGUUUGUAUCGGCGCAGCGUGCAGAGUCAUUAAGGGAACUUUGAGAUGCCGGAAUUUAGUUUGCUCGAAGUUUAUAGAAAAUCAGGUCGAUUCUUGUGUAUUUGAGAAGAAAAUAAUCGAGUUCCAAGUAAUUAAACUGUUAGCGCCCCUUUUGGAAUGCAGAGUUGGUAGUAGUCUUGGUAGUUUUUAUGUAGUAUUGUCGGAAUUGAAUUGUGAAGUUUGUUGUGUACGUACGCGUUGUGUUCUUGGGCAAGUUCCGCAUUUUCCAAAUACGCGUAUCGCAGCGUAUAUGUGUGUCAGUGUCGCCUGCUUACGCAUGUGUCCUCUACUGGCGGCAACUUUCGUACGUGUAGGUGUGUGGCCACUACUGGCGACGAAUACGUACGUGCGGUUGCCGGCGCUUGCUGCUGUGCUGCUGCCGAGAAUCCGUACAAAUACCUUAAACCUCACGUACGCAUCCGUAUAAGGUGCGGUACUCGUAGCCGGUGCCCCAUUCGCCAUUCUACACGUACGUGUGUAUCACCACUCGCGUGCAGGUGAUGCGCUGUCGCGUGCCGUGUGUGUGACGAAACGGUCCAUUGUUCGCCUGUCCUACUACUCCUAUACAGAACCCUCGACGCAAGGCUCAUACAGGACGACGACGUACUGUCCCGGCCCACUGCUGCUGCCGCACCCACGUACGGAUGAAACGUACGUGCCGAUUAAUUUGCGUGGUGUGCUGUUCGGGCCUUUGGGGCCUGUCACGUACGAAUGAAUGAAUUGAAGUGGGCACAGGGUUUCGUAGAUUUCGUGGGAAUCGAUCAAGUACGGGGUUACAGAUUGUAAAUGCGGCGCCACUGUAGAUGCAUAUGCCCGACGACCUUCUCUCCUGCUUCGUUCCUCGCAUUGUGUGAUGGAGCUUAGCGAGAGGAGAGGCUACUGUUGAGAUGGAACAGGUGCGAAUAGCUUGCACAUGUACCUUCAGGAAGGUAGGGAGCACAAUUAUUUGUGUGUAAUCCACUUUAGCUGAUGCUUAUUAGAUGUGGGGAGCCUCGAGCUUGAUUGGAUGAUGAGAGCUAGCAGCCAGUGCCGUGCACUGCUGCACACUGAGAAAUAACGGUGGUCCUCGUGUACCCACCAUGCCGUAUAGUUCGUCUUUUGUCUUGAGCAUUCUUGCUUCAUAUAUAUGCACAGCACGCGUAUAGUGUGUCGACAUUAUACUGGUUACUGUUUAUUUUUCACGGCUUGAUUGAUACGCCGCCAUGUACUUACUGAUCACAAAUGUAAAUCUGUCGUAUGUAUGUUUCAUUUUGUCGUUUAUC
Molecule: long non-coding RNA, 5018 nt
Organism: Panicum virgatum (switchgrass)
Lineage: Eukaryota; Viridiplantae; Streptophyta; Magnoliopsida; Poales; Poaceae
Exons: 10
Source: RefSeq, a predicted model, not a curated record